Molecule: ribosomal RNA, 775 nt
Filed under: uncultured Neocallimastigales
Lineage: Eukaryota; Fungi; Neocallimastigomycota; Neocallimastigomycetes; Neocallimastigales
Description: partial large subunit ribosomal RNA
Rfam family: Eukaryotic large subunit ribosomal RNA
Source: RNAcentral
AGAGAGAGACAUGCGCGCAUAUCAAUAAGCGGAGGAAAAGAAACUAACAAGGAUUCCCUUAGUAACGGCGAGUGAAGCGGGAAGAGCUCAAAUUUGAAAUCUUCAAGGUUUUACCUUGACGAAUUGUAGUUUAAAGAAGUGUUUUCUGCUGAAGUUUUGGUAAAAGUUCUUUGGAAUAGGACAUCAUAGAGGGUGAGAAUCCCGUAUUUGACCAUUAUUUUCAGCUUUGUGAUACACUUUCAAAGAGUCGGAUUGUUUGGGAAUGCAGUCCAAAAUGGGUGGUAAAUUUCAUCUAAAGCUAAAUAUUGGCGAGAGACCGAUAGCGAACAAGUACCGUGAGGGAAAGAUGAAAAGAACUUUGAAAAGAGAGUUAAACAGUACGCUGAAAUUGUCAAAAGGGAAGCGUUUGACACCAGUGUUGUUUUCUCGAAAAUCAAUUAAAAAUGGCUCGAUUUUGUAUUGCUGAGACCUUAAAAGCUCACUGUACAUUUUUCGUGUCUUUUUUAAUGCACUUUUCGUUUAACAAGUCAACAUCAGUUUCUUUUGUUGUAAAAGGGUCAUUGGAAGGUGGCUUUCUUUUCGGAGAAAGUGUUUAUAGCCUUUGGACUCUGCAAUCGGAGAGACUGAGGUCUGCAGCGUAGACUCUUCGGGGUUAGAUACAUUUGUGCUAAGUUAUAGCUUUUUAUAGACAACUUGUUGACUAUAAUUAGUCUUGUAGCUUACUCGCUUAUGCUAUUUUACCUACGCUUAGGAUGUUGAAGAUGUAGCACAUCAU